Molecule: long non-coding RNA, 2320 nt
Organism: Lemur catta (Ring-tailed lemur)
Lineage: Eukaryota; Metazoa; Chordata; Mammalia; Primates; Lemuridae
Exons: 3
Source: RefSeq, a predicted model, not a curated record
CGACUGAUGGGCCUUAAACUGCCGCAAAAGGGGCGCGUUCCGAUUGGUGUCCCGUGGGAAUUUCGGUGCCGUCCCUCACUGGGCUGAGUUCCUGCUGGAGUGAGGAGCCCUGGUGGAAUCCGAGGCGCGCCAAGAGAAGUGCUGAAUUCUCUAUGAAUCCAUGCAUCCUGCAAACGUUUUUUGAGCACCCAUUAGGGCCGAGGCGCAGAACUGAGAACGCAGCCAUGAAAGGGCGCUGUUCCUGCCCCAGUGGUGCUCAGUCUGGUGGGGAGACGCUCCAGGCUUCAUAUGGUGAAACUUUCUCUGGGAAGGAAAGCAGCUCAGAGUCCCACACAGGAAAUUCUUCAGCUGGAAGGAUGUCAGAAAGAUGGAUUUCCAAAGCCAACCAUUUCCUGUACCAUGCGGAUCUCUGCAAGCAGAGCCUCAUCUUUCAAUUUCAGCUACAUGAGAGAGGAAGGAAGGGAAGGACAUGUCAUACCUGAUGUACCUAUGUGGCUUUGAAGACCCUUCAUUUGUGGGACCACAGCUACAGAACAUAGUUCCUUGGGAUGGAAUUGGUUCUUCCUAUAUUCCCUAUUUCAUGAAAGCUCCAUUAAAAGACCUUAGAACAUUGUGCUGGUUACAUGGAUAUGGUUCCUUUGUGAGAAUUCAUCAAGCAAUGUGAACACUCAUGAUUUAUACAUUUUUUGGUAAAAUAACUUUAUUAAUGUUUAUUUUUUAAAGUGUUCAUAUUAUCACCAACGUCUCUAGGCUAAUGUGUAGUAUUCUCAUUUGGCAAGUGACAGCAAGUAAUCAAAGACACAGGAAUCACAGGCUUUUAUUAGAUCUCGAUUUAAUUUUAGAAUCUAGAUGUGUAGUAGAGACAUCUAGUAGCCUACUGAAUACCCAUUCUCUCUUAUUAACAAAAUCUUGAUUUUUUUUCAGGACAGCAAUGCAAUCAGUUAAAAAGUCACAUUUUUCUGCCUCCCUUGCAUCUAUUGGUAGUCAUACGACCAACUGUGGCCCAAUGAAAUGUAAGCUAAAGUCACUGGAUGGGACACCUGGGAAAAGCCCUUUAAAGGGAAGUGAGGGCCUUUGUCUCUUAUGCCUGGGCACAGAGCUGGGGUCCAAAAAAAUAAAUAAAAUAAAAUAAAGGGAAGUGAAAUAGCUAUAGCAUGGCCCCCUUUUCCUUUUCCCUUUAUUUUUCCUGAAACAUGGGCUUGGUAGGUGGAGCUACAUUAGCUAUCUUGCAACUAUAAGGGAUGAAAACUGCGUGCUACAAUUGGCAGAGCAGAAAGAUAGAGGUUAGGUCCCUGAUGACACUGUGGAGCUGUGGUACCAACCCUGGACUUUUCACUAGAAAAAGAUAGCUGACCCCUGGACUAGACCAACCCCCUACAUUUUACACAUGAGGAAAAUGAAGCCCAGAAAGGUUAACACAGUAAGUUAAUGGCAAAACCAGAACCAUAAUUCAGGUCAACUGAUUCAGGCUAUCUGUCUUUCUCUUAAACCAUAGUCUCUCUAAAGAGCUGGAAGAAAGAUCACCCAUGGACUAUGUAGGUUAUUAUUACAAACCCAGCAAUUCUGUGAUAAGGGCAAAGAUGGUUAAGAAAAGCUUCAAGAAAAAUACUCGCGUCAUGCAAUGCUCUGAAGUCCUGAAUUAAGCCAGUACCUUCCUCCCAGUUUCCCAACCUCAGUAUGGUGCACACAAAUGAUAGAGGUGUCUGUGUCAUACCUUCAUUGUAUACUUGUAGGCCUGUUCAGCUUCCAGUUGCCGUCCAGCCUGAAAAAAGUACAGCAGCUGGUGAUGAUGACUUGUCACAAACAUUAUGGUAUGAAGUUCACUGAAUUGCCAGGGGCAUUUUCCAGCACACAUUCCCUUCCUACCACCACCACCUUUGUUUCCCUCCUGCCAUAAGGAGGCAGUGGCCCAAAUGAUGUGAGGAUCCAGAAUAGCCAAAACAAUUUUGAAAAAUAAUAAUUUGUUGCUAUUAUAUACAUUGCUGCCGUAAACAAUCCUCGUACAUGUCUUCCUGAAUUUUUCUUAGGAUUAUAUCUAGAUAUGACAUUGCCAAAUUAUAGAUAUCAAUGUGACUACAUAAUGCCACAUUGCACUUAAAAGUUGUUGUACCAAUUUACAUCCACUAUCAAUUAUGAGACUCCUCAUCGAUGUCGGUAAUACCAUGCUUUAAUUGUUGCCAAUCUAAUGGCAGUCAAUUUCUGCCACGUCAUUAAAUUGCUCAUGCUUACUAGUGACACAGAUCUUCUUUUCAUACAUGUAUUGACUUUUAUAACUUCCACAGCAGCAAACUGCAUUUUUCUAUCCUCUGCUCAUUUUUAA